ACGGGUGAGUAACACGUGGGAAAUCUGCCCUGCACUCUGGGACAAGCCUUGGAAACGAGGUCUAAUACCGGAUAUGACCUGCUCCUGCAUGGGGGUGGGUGGAAAGCUCCGGCGGUGCAGGAUGAUCCCGCGGCCUAUCAGCUUGUUGGUGGGGUAAUGGCCUACCAAGGCGACGACGGGUAGCCGGCCUGAGAGGGCGACCGGCCACACUGGGACUGAGACACGGCCCAGACUCCUACGGGAGGCAGCAGUGGGGAAUAUUGCACAAUGGGCGAAAGCCUGAUGCAGCGACGCCGCGUGAGGGAUGACGGCCUUCGGGUUGUAAACCUCUUUCAGCAGGGAAGAAGCGCAAGUGACGGUACCUGCAGAAGAAGCACCGGCUAACUACGUGCCAGCAGCCGCGGUAAUACGUAGGGUGCGAGCGUUGUCCGGAAUUAUUGGGCGUAAAGAGCUCGUAGGCGGCCUGUCGCGUCGGAUGUGAAAGCCCGGGGCUUAACCCCGGGUCUGCAUUCGAUACGGGCAGGCUAGAGUGUGGUAGGGGAGAUCGGAAUUCCUGGUGUAGCGGUGAAAUGCGCAGA
This 578-nucleotide ribosomal RNA is filed under the name Kitasatospora sp. RDB-172. Its description in RNAcentral is "bacterial SSU rRNA". It matches the Rfam family "Bacterial small subunit ribosomal RNA", at positions 102 to 694 of the family's 1533-position model. The record is from RNAcentral. Lineage: Bacteria; Bacillati; Actinomycetota; Actinomycetes; Kitasatosporales; Streptomycetaceae.